GGAAUUAUAUUUGUUUUCUAAUUGUUUGAAAUAUGGAUGAAAUUUGGAUUUCUGGACCAGGGUCAAGAUUAGAAAGUGUCUAAAAAAUAUAGUGUAGAAUAUAUUUGCUUGAAAAUUUGCAGGUCCAAUAAGAGGGCUUUAAAUUGAAAAUGGAGAAAGAAGAAAAUCCCCUUUGAUGUCGACUAAGCCUGGUGUUAUAUGGAAUAAACAGUGUGUACAUCUUUGGCAGGCAUUUUGGUGUAGUGUAGAGGUCAUUGAAUGUAGAGACAAAGGACAGGGCUCCAAAUCCAAACUCUGCCACCUAUUACUUCAAGCAAGUCUUUUGAUUUCUUUAUUCUUUUAAGACCCAUCACUAUUCAGAUAGUUCAUCAGGCACUGAGUUCAUAGAGUCAAACUUGAUGAUUGCUGUCAUUACUGAAGAAAAUGGGUCAUCAUACAUUAAUGGUUCUGUGCUCUAAUUGAAUCAGAAGAAGGCUUCAGUUUAUUUAUGAAAAGGUGGUGUUGGCAGAAACAAGAUUAUGUGAUAAUCAACUGUAAUGGACUUGGCUCUUUUUAACAAUGAACUGAUUCAGCCAAUUUUUUAGCCUGUUUGCUUGUUUUUUUCUCAUUUUUCCCCUUUUGAUCUGAUUUUUUUAUUUUCAAAACAUAUGCAAAACAAUUGUAUAAAUAUGUAUGCAUACAUUAGAGUUAACAUAUUUUUACCAUGUUUAACAUAUAUUGGACCACUUGCCAUCUAGGGGAGGGCAUGGGGUAAGAGAGGGAAAAUUGGAACACAAGGUUUUGCAAGAGCUAAUUUUUUUAAUUAAAUAACUUUUUAUUGACAGAACCCAUGCCAGGGUAAUUUUUUACAACAUUAUCCCUUGCACUCUCUUCUGUUCCAAUUUUUCCCCUCCCUCCAUCCCCUUCCCCAAAUGGCAAGCAGUCCUAUACAUGUUAAAUAGGUUACAGUAUAUCCUAGAUACAAUAUAUGUGUGCAGAACCGAACAGUUCUCUUGUUGCAUAGGGAGAAUUGGAUUCAGAAGGUAUAAAUAACCCGGGAAGAAAAACAAAAAUGCAAGCAGUUUACAUUCAUUUCCCAGUGUUCUUUCUUUGGGUGUAGCUGCUUCUGUCCAUCCUUGAUCAAUUGAAACUGAGUUAGAUCUUUUUGUCGAAGAAAUCCACUUCCAUCAAAAUACAUCCUCAUACAGUAUCAUUAUUGAGGUAUAUAAUGAUCUCCUGGUUCUGCUCAUUUCACUUAGCAUCAGUUCGUGUAAGUCUCACCAGUCCUCUCUGUAUUCAUCCUUGCAAGAGCUAAUGUUAAAGAAUUGUCCACACAUAUGUUUUGAAAAAUAAAAAUCUUUAAUAAAAAACAUAUGCAUAGAUAAUUUUCAACAUUCACCCUUACAAAACCUUGUGUUCCAAAUUUUUUUCUUUCCUUUCCCCCCACGGGGGCCCUAGAUAGCAAGUAAUCCAGUGUAUCUUAAAUGUGUGUAAUUCUUCUAUACAUAUUUCUACAAUUAUCAUGUGGCACAAGAAAAAUCAGAUCAAAAAAGUAAAAAAAAAAUUGAAAGAAAACAAAAUGCAAGCAAAUAAUAACAAAAAAUAGUGAAAAUACUAUGUUGUGAUCCAUACUCAAUCCCCACAUCCUCUCUCUAGGUGCAAUUAGCUUUUUUCAUCACAAGACCAUUGGAACUGGCCUGGAUCAUGUCACUGUUGAAAAGAGCUACAUCUGUCAAAAUUGACCAUUGUAUAAUCUUCUUGUUGCUGUGUACAGUGUUCUUCUGGUUCCACUCACUUCGCUUAGCAUCAGUUCAUAGAUCAUUGAUAUUCAAGGAUGUAGCUGUGGACUCCACCCAGGAGGAAUAGAGGCAGCUGGAUCCUGCUCAGAGGAUUCUGUACAGGGGCAUGAUGCUAGAAAAUUAUGGAAACCUGGUCUUAUUGGGUUUGGAGAGUAUAAAGAAAAGCAAGAUGCCAUCUCCACAGGAAACUAUUUCUGAGGAACCAUUGUUAAAGGAAGCAGAAAUGGAAAGAUUUAUAAGGAGUGGACUCUCAUACUUCAAGUUAGGAAAAGCCAGAGAAUGUGAUGGCCACUUGACAAAACAUCAGGGAAUCCAAGAAAAAUAUUUGAAAGAAAUACUUAGUAGCUGUAAAAACACCAUCAUGGGGAAGAGAAAUCUUGAAUGUAAUGAACUUGGGAUAUUCUUUAGACCGAAUUCAGACCUUAUGAAGCAGCAGAAUGGUUUGCUAGGAAACCAGUCCCAUAAAGCAGGAGAAAUGAUCAAACAUAAUUCUAAACUAAUUAAAAAUGAAAGACUGUUUUUAAAGAAAAAGUUUCAUGAAUUCAAUGAAUAUAGGAAAGAAUUUAGUAGAAAUACACAUCUUAUUGAACAUCAGAGAAUCCAUAUUGGUGAGAAACCCUAUAAAUGUCAUAAAUGUGAAAAAGUUUUCAAUAAGGAUUCACACCUUAUUAAAACAUGAGAGAGUACAUAGUAGAGAAAAACCUUAUGAAUGCAAUGAUUGUGGGAGAGCCUUUGGUUGGAGAACACAACAUCAGAGAAUCCAUACAGGCGAGAAACCUUAUGAAUGUAAUGAAUGUGAGAAAGCCUUCAGAUUGAAUACAAUUCUUAUUCAAUAUCAGAGAAUUCAUACUGGAGAGAAACCCUAUGGAUAUAAUGAAUGUGAGAGAGUUUUCAGCCAGUGUACAAACCUUAUUCAGCAUUAGAGAACUCCUAUUGGAGAGAAAUCUUAUGUAUAUAAGGAAUGUGGGAAGGCCUUUAGCAGAAGUACAAAUCUUAGUGAACAUUAAAGAAUUCAUACUGGAGAGAAACCCUACAAACGUAAUAUUUGUGGGAAAAGUUUCAGGAAAAGUGAAAUCCUCACUAAACAUCAGAGAAUUCAUACUGGAGAAAAACCCUAUGAAUGUCAUGAAUGUGAUAAAACUUUCAGCCAGCAUGCACAUCUUACUGGAUACAAGAGAAUUCAUACUGGAGAAAAGCCCUAUGAAUGUAACCAAUGUGGGAAAACCUUCAGAUUGAGUACAAAUCUUGCUCAACACCAGAGAGUUCAUACUGGAGAGAAAUGUAUAUAAAUGUAAUGAAUGUGAAAAAGCCUUCAGUCAGAGUCUAGCCAUGUUCGACAUCAGAGAAUUCAUACUGGUGAAAAACCCUAUGAGUGUCAUGAAUGUGGGAAAGCAUUUAGUGAUAGAGCAUCCCUUAUUAAACACCAGAUGAUACAUACUGGAGAAAAGCCUUUAAAUGUCAUGAAUAUGAGAAAGCCUUCAGUCAAAGUUCAGACCUUAUUUGGCAUCAGAGAAUUCAUGCUGGAGAUUAUAAAAUCUUUGGAGUUUAACAGCUUUCAGCUGUGGGUGGAUCAAUUUUAUAACACAAAAGCAAGGACUAGCAAGAACUGAUCUAGUGUCAAAAAUAGAAGCUGAGGACUCCAAACUUUCAUUCUGUUCCUAACUUGCUUUUACUGUGGUAUUUUUUCCUUAUUCCUUUUUCUGGUUUGUCUUUUCUUGAGUCUAUGUAUCUAACUUGUUCUGAACGGAUAACACUUUUUUCUAAUGUUGCAUUUUGACUCCUGGCUUUCUUACUGACACUGUUUGGCUGACUCUGCUUUUAGUUCAUACUUUCAUCAUGCAAUGAAAUUAUUUUCAACUGCUAGCAGCUCAGCAGAUAAUUAUUGCUUUGCUGAUGUUGGGUAAAUGCACAUGGCUCCCCAUUUCUAUAUAGACCUGGCUUUUUUAAGGUAAAACAAAAGCAAAAACCCUUAGAUCUAGUGGGUCUACUGAAAUAUAAGGCAAUUCCAGAAAGCUAAGGAGUCAAUGAAUGGAUGUGCCAGGUUGUUUCAAUUUUAGAAACAAGAUUUAUUUUGGAAUGAGUUGGUACAACUGUAUCAUGAUUGGUACUGGUAGCUUACCUCUGAAAUAAAGUGGCCUGACUUAG
This is a long non-coding RNA of Antechinus flavipes (yellow-footed antechinus), 3923 nucleotides long. RefSeq lists it as uncharacterized. The transcript is spliced from 3 exons. NCBI's taxonomy places the organism in Eukaryota, Metazoa, Chordata, Mammalia, Dasyuromorphia, Dasyuridae. The record is from RefSeq and is a predicted model, not a curated record.